UACAGAGGGUGAGAGCGUUAAUAGGAGUUACUGGGCGUAAAGCGUGCGUAGACGGAUUUUUAAGUCGGUUGUGAAAUCCCCGAACUUAACUUAGGAAUUGCAUUCGAUACUGGGAAGCUAGAGUAUGGGAGAGGAUGGUAGAAUUCCAGGUGUAGCGGUGAAAUGCGUAGAGAUCUGGAGGAAUACCGAUGGCGAAGGCAGCCAUCUGGCCUAAUACUGACGCUGAGGUACGAAAGCAUGGGGAGCAAACAGG
This 253-nucleotide unclassified non-coding RNA is filed under the name uncultured Moraxellaceae bacterium. RNAcentral describes it as "contains 16S-23S intergenic spacer region". It matches the Rfam family "Bacterial small subunit ribosomal RNA", at positions 524 to 776 of the family's 1533-position model. The record is from RNAcentral. Lineage: Bacteria; Pseudomonadati; Pseudomonadota; Gammaproteobacteria; Moraxellales; Moraxellaceae.